Molecule: ribosomal RNA, 104 nt
Filed under: Aliivibrio fischeri
Lineage: Bacteria; Pseudomonadati; Pseudomonadota; Gammaproteobacteria; Vibrionales; Vibrionaceae
Source: RNAcentral
AGCAUUAUGGACCCACCUGAUUCCAUGCCGAACUCAGAAGUGAAACGUAAUAGCGCCGAUGGUAGUGUGGGGUUUCCCCAUGUGAGAGUAGGACAUCGCCAGGC